RNAcentral lists this ribosomal RNA (421 nucleotides) under uncultured bacterium. RNAcentral describes it as "bacterial SSU rRNA". It matches the Rfam family "Bacterial small subunit ribosomal RNA", at positions 340 to 752 of the family's 1533-position model. The record is from RNAcentral.
UACGGAAGGCAGCAGUGGGGAAUAUUGCACAAUGGGCGCAAGCCUGAUGCAGCCAUGCCGCGUGUAUGAAGAAGGCCUUCGGGUUGUAAAGUACUUUCAGCGGGGAGGAAGGGAGUAAAGUUAAUACCUUUGCUCAUUGACGUUACCCGCAGAAGAAGCACCGGCUAACUCCGUGCCAGCAGCCGCGGUAAUACGGAGGGUGCAAGCGUUAAUCGGAAUUACUGGGCGUAAAGCGCACGCAGGCGGUUUUGUUAAGUCAGAUGUGAAAUCCCCGGGCUCAACCUGGGAACUGCAUCUGAUACUGGCAAGCUUGAGUCUCGUAGAGGGGGUAGAAUUCCAGGUGUAGCGGUGAAAUGCGUAGAGAUCUGGAGGAAUACCGGUGGCGAAGGCGGCCCCUGGGACGAAGACUGACGCUCAGGGU